RNAcentral lists this small RNA (132 nucleotides) under Escherichia coli. RNAcentral's name for it is "RtT sRNA". It matches the Rfam family "RtT RNA". Rfam says of the family: This family represents a bacterial cis-regulatory element known as RtT RNA. The exact function of RtT is unknown although it is thought that it may be involved in changing the cellular response in relation to amino acid starvation. The record is from RNAcentral. Lineage: Bacteria; Pseudomonadati; Pseudomonadota; Gammaproteobacteria; Enterobacterales; Enterobacteriaceae.
AUUCUGCCCAUGCGGGGAAGGAUGAGAAGCUUCGACCAAGGUUCGACUCGAGCGCCAGCGAGAGAGCGUGGCCGCAGGCAACGACCCGAAGGGUGAAGCGCGCAGCGCUGAGUAAUCCUUCCCCCACCACCA